GUGACACCACACGGGAGCGCGCAACGGGCGCGCUGAGAGGACGGCUGGGCCGUCGACCGUACGAACCUGACCGGGUCAUGCCGGCGUAGGGAGUGAAGCGAUGACGACG
Molecule: non-coding RNA, 109 nt
Filed under: Mycobacterium sp.
Lineage: Bacteria; Bacillati; Actinomycetota; Actinomycetes; Mycobacteriales; Mycobacteriaceae
Also listed under: 1 other name
Description: TPP sequence
Rfam family: TPP riboswitch aptamer (THI element)
About the family: Vitamin B(1) in its active form thiamin pyrophosphate (TPP) is an essential coenzyme that is synthesised by coupling of pyrimidine and thiazole moieties in bacteria. The previously detected thiamin-regulatory element, thi box was extended, resulting in a new, highly conserved RNA secondary structure, the THI element, which is widely distributed in eubacteria and also occurs in some archaea.
Source: RNAcentral